RNAcentral lists this ribosomal RNA (497 nucleotides) under uncultured bacterium. RNAcentral describes it as "partial 16S ribosomal RNA". It matches the Rfam family "Bacterial small subunit ribosomal RNA", at positions 28 to 507 of the family's 1533-position model. The record is from RNAcentral.
GAUGAACGCUGGCGGCGUGCCUAAUACAUGCAAGUCGAGCGAACGGACGAGAAGCUUGCUUCUCUGAUGUUAGCGGCGGACGGGUGAGUAACACGUGGAUAACCUACCUAUAAGACUGGGAUAACUUCGGGAAACCGGAGCUAAUACCGGAUAAUAUUUUGAACCGCAUGGUUCAAAAGUGAAAGACGGUCUUUCUGUCACUUAUAGAUGGAUCCGCGCUGCAUUAGCUAGUUGGUAAGGUAACGGCUUACCAAGGCAACGAUGCAUAGCCGACCUGAGAGGGUGAUCGGCCACACUGGAACUGAGACACGGUCCAGACUCCUACGGGAGGCAGCAGUAGGGAAUCUUCCGCAAUGGGCGAAAGCCUGACGGAGCAACGCCGCGUGAGUGAUGAAGGUCUUCGGAUCGUAAAACUCUGUUAUUAGGGAAGAACAUAUGUGUAAGUAACUGUGAACAUCUUGACGGUACCUAAUCAGAAAGCCACGGCUAACUACGUG